RNAcentral lists this ribosomal RNA (139 nucleotides) under Pisolithus arhizus. RNAcentral's name for it is "partial 28S ribosomal RNA". It matches the Rfam family "Eukaryotic large subunit ribosomal RNA", at positions 1 to 128 of the family's 3401-position model. The record is from RNAcentral. Lineage: Eukaryota; Fungi; Basidiomycota; Agaricomycetes; Boletales; Pisolithaceae.
UUUCGAAGGCUUGACCUCAAAUCAGGUAGGACUACCCGCUGAACUUAAGCAUAUCAAUAAGCGGAGGAAAAGAAACUAACGAGGAUUCCCCUAGUAACUGCGAGUGAAGCGGGAAAAGCUCAAAUUUUGAAUCUGGCGG